UACGUAGGGGGCAAGCGUUAUCCGGAUUUACUGGGUGUAAAGGGAGCGUAGACGGCUGUGCAAGCCAGAUGUGAAAGCCUGGGGCUCAACCCCGGGACUGCAUUUGGAACUGUGUGGCUGGAGUGUCGGAGAGGCAGGCGGAAUUCCUAGUGUAGCGGUGAAAUGCGUAGAUAUUAGGAGGAACACCAGUGGCGAAGGCGGCCUGCUGGACGAUGACUGACGUUGAGGCUCGAAAGCGUGGGGAGCAAACAGG
Molecule: ribosomal RNA, 253 nt
Filed under: uncultured bacterium
Lineage: Bacteria
Description: partial 16S ribosomal RNA
Rfam family: Bacterial small subunit ribosomal RNA
Source: RNAcentral